CAACUGAAUACUGUUGACACGUUUUCUUUAUAUUUGACAUUUUGAAAUACAAAUUUAACAGGUAUAUUAUUAAUUGCAAAAACUGCAAUUACUUUUGCACCAACCUAAUAGUACCUGUGCGUAGAAUUAUCUUAGUGGAGCAGCUCAAAUGUGGAUCAAAGCAGUUGAGCUACUUUGGUGACUCAUAUACCACCAGUGCCACUGUUGUAAAUGUGUGAUUUUCCUAAAUGAUGAAUAACUUCUGAAGUUCUGAGCAAAACAAAGUAUACCUUUCCCUUGAUUUACACAGCAGUCGCUUUUCCUGGAGAAUUCAUUUACAUUAGCCCCAUGCCAAAAAUACCUAUAUUUAUAAGUAAAAUGAAAUCAGAUUCUGGUCAGUUUUAUGUAUAGGUAUAGGGAUUGGCAUGUGGGCGUGGGAAGUGAGACAGUUGUCUUAUCGAGUAUGCAAUAUCCAAGCCCCUGCUCACUAAAUGCCAUAGUGCCCCCCACCCCCGCUUAUGUGAUAACCCAAAUUGCCCCCACAAAUUUCCAGCAUGUCCUCUGGCGAACCAUUGGCCUGUAGCAAUGGACUUAUAAGCUACAAUUAGGAUCAACAUAAAUUUCUUCACUUAAGAAAAUAACUGCAGAAAACAAUAUGGAGAGAAUGAUUAAAUGAUUAAGCUCUAAAAAGGCUAAGAAGAGAUCAGAGACUCUUGUGGACAGUAAAUGAAGUAUUAGUAGAUAAUUUUGAGAGACCUAAUGUCUUCAUUCUGAUUGGAAGAAGUACAAUAACUGGAUCAGAGCUGUCUAAUAGAAAUACAAUGUGAACACAUAUGUAAUAUUAAUAUUCUAUAAGCAAAUUAAAAAAUAAGAAAUAGGCAGACUGACUUGAAUAUAUUUUAUUUAAAACAACAUACAGAAAAUAUCAUUCUUUAGAGAUGUAAUCAAUAUAGAAAGUGUAUUAAUCAGAUCCUUUUUUUUUUUCUUCUUCACUAAGUCUUUCAAAAUCUGGGAGUAUUUUGCACUUACAGUAUAGCUCACAUAGCCAAUGCGCAAGGGUUCUGUCUUGCACCUGGGCACGUCUUAUUUGGUUAUCACAGCACUUAAAAACUGAAUUCUGUGCUCUCUGGGAUGCUGCUGAGGGUGAGAUGAGAAGUCCCAACUGAAACUGUCUUAAACAAGGAAAACAUUUGUUCUCAUACAUAAAUUAAAGUUAGGGUACGCUCUAGGACUGGUUGGUUCAGUGAUUCGUGGCAUCGUCAAGGACGCAAGUGCCUUCCGUGUUUCCCUCCUGAUUUUCUCAAUGUGGGGCCUGCUCCUCUCAGGGUUGUAAGGUGGUGGCCAGUGGCAAGAUGGCGGCUCAUGCGUCCUGGUUUGUGUCCAAUAGGAGGGAUGAAGACAUCUUUCCCUAAAAUAUGAACUAUCCAUUCUUUCAGUCAUAUUGGGCGAAAAUGCCAUGUCUUGACUGACUUACGCAAAUCAUCUGGGUCAGAAUAUUGCAUCCUUUCUCAUGAUUGAUGCAAGAAUGGCUUUGGCUGGGCAUUUUCUCUUCAUUUACUCAUCCUGAGGCGCACUAUUUCUUGUUGUCUUAUACUUGCUUUCUUUACCCAGUUACUCUACCUUUCUGUCCCUGGAAGUGUUUGAGUUUGUGGCUGCCUCUUACACACAGGCUCCAGUCAUUGUUGACAGAGCCACACAUGCAACAUUGCAUUUAAUUUUGAUGUGAGAGGAUAUAAGAGAAUGAGAGGAGGUUUAAAGGAGACAGCUAAAGUGAAAAGGGAAUUGACGUCAUGUUGUAUGAGGAAUGUUGAAGGGAAUGGCCCUGUAAACCUAUGAGAAGUGGAGGGCUUGUGGGUGGGAUAGAAUAUCCUCAUCUUAGCGAUGAGGGUAUGUCUACUUGUAGCAGUUCUAUGCUCCCAUCAAAUUAACUGCUUCAGCCGGGCGUGGUGGCUCAUGCCUGUAAUCCCAGCGCUUUGGGAGGCCCAGGCAGGCAAAUCAUUUGAGGUCAGGAGUUCGAGACCAGUCUGGCCAACAUGGUGAAACCCCUCUCUACUAAAAAUACCAAAAUUAGCUGGGAGUGGUGGCGAGCGCCUGUAACUCCAGUUACUCAGGAGGCUGAAGCAGGAGAAUUGCUGAACUUGGGAGGUGGAGGUUGCAGUCAGCUGACAUGGCACCACUUCACUCCAGCCUGGGUGACAGAGCAAGACUCUGUCUAAAAAAAAAAAAAA
Macaca fascicularis (crab-eating macaque) is the source of this 2207-nucleotide long non-coding RNA. The record is from Ensembl. NCBI's taxonomy places the organism in Eukaryota, Metazoa, Chordata, Mammalia, Primates, Cercopithecidae.